This is a long non-coding RNA of Quercus lobata, 704 nucleotides long. RefSeq lists it as uncharacterized. Lineage: Eukaryota; Viridiplantae; Streptophyta; Magnoliopsida; Fagales; Fagaceae. The transcript is spliced from 2 exons. The record is from RefSeq and is a predicted model, not a curated record.
CCAACACUCUCUGGUCAACAUCUGUUUCCCCGCCUGUAUAGCUAUUGUUCUUUGUAAGAAACGUGGACGGGUAGGUAUGACUGUCCGCUGAAGAUUGGCAGCUAUGGCCUAUGAAACUCCAGCACCAUGCCUCUCUUCUUCUCUUUUUUCAAGAUUCAAGAAUCCAUUUCCGGCAUUUUCUUUUUCCAUCCCCACAAGACCAUGUCUCUCACACCUUUGAUGUUUAGGUCAUUGCUGAGGCUUCUAACAUCACUAAUUGGUGAUCCUGCGGCAUCAGUCUCAACCUUACUAUUCUACAGCGACCUUUUACCUCAGAAUGUCGUUUUGGAGAGAUUGGUUCAGCAUGAAUUACUACAUGAAGAAAAUUAUCUCUUCCAUUUUCUCAUAAACUUCAUGAGAUGUUUCUGGUAACUGUUUCGUGAAUACCACAAGCUGAGAUUUGACUCAUCUCUUUUUCUCCAUCUCCACAUGGAUUUUUAUCAAAAUGAAACAUAGUUGGUUCUCAAUUUUCUUUUUCCUUUUUCUUUAAUUGUUGAAUAGUGGAUCCGCAGAUUUUUUCGUGCAAUUGUAAACUUAGUCAUUUGGUGAGUCUAUUAAUUUCGGACUUAAUUUUACACUGAAUAAUGUUUUGUUUCCGUACUUCCAUGUCAAUAAGAACUUCUGUUCGAGUUAGUGAAUGUUUAUAAUCUUGGUGUUCUCUAUUA